AGAGAGGAGGUGUGUGCAAUGGCUGUACCUCAACAAUGGGCACAUCUGGUUGAGAAUCAGUUUGUAAAUCCUGGAUGGGUUGCAGAUUUUGAACUUCCACAAGUUCAACAGACCUCCCACUGCAUCCUUUUUGGAUAAACUUUUUUUUCAAGAAAAUGACAUGCCUACUAACAAACACCUUUUAUUGAGUAGGACGAUAGAAGUAGUAUCCUAUACUCCUCUUGGGAUAACCCAUAAAUCUGUAUUUUUCUGAUCUAGCAUCCAGCUUAUUUUCAUCAAUGUAUUUCAUAUAAGUUGGGC
Molecule: long non-coding RNA, 300 nt
Filed under: Elaeis guineensis (African oil palm)
Lineage: Eukaryota; Viridiplantae; Streptophyta; Magnoliopsida; Arecales; Arecaceae
Description: long non-coding RNA (EGUI_LNC057663)
Source: RNAcentral